This 496-nucleotide ribosomal RNA is filed under the name uncultured bacterium. RNAcentral's name for it is "partial 16S ribosomal RNA". It matches the Rfam family "Bacterial small subunit ribosomal RNA", at positions 28 to 506 of the family's 1533-position model. The record is from RNAcentral.
GAUGAACGCUGGCGGCGUGCCUAAUACAUGCAAGUCGAGCGAACGGACGAGAAGCUUGCUUCUCUGAUGUUAGCGGCGGACGGGUGAGUAACACGUGGAUAACCUACCUAUAAGACUGGGAUAACUUCGGGAAACCGUAGCUAAUACCGGAUAAUAUUUUGAACCGCAUGGUUCAAAAGUGAAAGACGGUCUUGCUGUCACUUAUAGAUGGAUCCGCGCUGCAUUAGCUAGUUGGUAAGGUAACGGCUUACCAAGGCAACGAUGCAUAGCCGACCUGAGAGGGUGAUCGGCCACACUGGAACUGAGACACGGUCCAGACUCCUACGGGAGGCAGCAGUAGGGAAUCUUCCGCAACGGGCGAAAGCCUGACGGAGCAACGCCGCGUGAGUGAUGAAGGUCUUCGGAUCGUAAAACUCUGUUAUUAGGGAAGAACAUAUGUGUAAGUAACUGUGCACAUCUUGACGGUACCUAAUCAGAAAGCCACGGCUAACUACGU